GAUGAACGCUGGCGGCGUGCUUAACACAUGCCAGUCGAGCGAGAAGUUUUGAAAAGAUUCUUCGGAUGAAAUUUAAAAUGGAAAGCGGCGGACGGGUGAGUAACGCGUAGGCAACCUGCCCCAUACAAAGGGAUAGCAUUUGGAAACGACUAUUAAUACCUUAUGAAACUUAACUAGUGCAUGCUAGGUAGGUCAAAGAUUUAUCGGUAUGGGAUGGGCCUGCGUCUGAUUAGCUAGUUGGUGAGGUAACGGCUCACCAAGGCGACGAUCAGUAGCCGACGUAAGAGGAUGAACGGCCACAUUGGAACUGAGACACGGGCCAAACACCUACGGGAAGCAGCAGUAGGGAAUAUUGCACAAUGGGGGAAACCCUGAUGCAGCAACGCCGCGUGAACGAUGAAGGCCUGUGGGUCGUAAAGUUCUGUUCUAGGUGAUGAAAACUGACAGUAACCUAGGAGAAAGCCCCGGCUAACUCCGUG
RNAcentral lists this ribosomal RNA (479 nucleotides) under uncultured bacterium. RNAcentral describes it as "partial 16S ribosomal RNA". It matches the Rfam family "Bacterial small subunit ribosomal RNA", at positions 28 to 507 of the family's 1533-position model. The record is from RNAcentral.